AUUGAACGCUGGCGGCAUGCCUUACACAUGCAAGUCGAACGGUAACAGGUCUUCGGACGCUGACGAGUGGCGAACGGGUGAGUAAUACAUCGGAACGUGCCCAGUCGUGGGGGAUAACUACUCGAAAGAGUAGCUAAUACCGCAUACGAUCUGAGGAUGAAAGCGGGGGACCUUCGGGCCUCGCGCGAUUGGAGCGGCCGAUGGCAGAUUAGGUAGUUGGUGGGAUAAAAGCUUACCAAGCCGACGAUCUGUAGCUGGUCUGAGAGGACGACCAGCCACACUGGGACUGAGACACGGCCCAGACUCCUACGGGAGGCAGCAGUGGGGAAUUUUGGACAAUGGGCGAAAGCCUGAUCCAGCAAUGCCGCGUGCAGGAUGAAGGCCUUCGGGUUGUAAACUGCUUUUGUACGGAACGAAAAAGCUUCUCCUAAUACGAGAGGCCCAUGACGGUACCGUAAGAAUAAGCACCGGCUAACUACGUGCCAGCAGCCGCGGUAAUACGUAGGGUGCGAGCGUUAAUCGGAAUUACUGGGCGUAAAGCGUGCGCAGGCGGUUAUGUAAGACAGAUGUGAAAUCCCCGGGCUCAACCUGGGAACUGCAUUUGUGACUGCAUGGCUAGAGUACGGUAGAGGGGGAUGGAAUUCCGCGUGUAGCAGUGAAAUGCGUAGAUAUGCGGAGGAACACCGAUGGCGAAGGCAAUCCCCUGGACCUGUACUGACGCUCAUGCACGAAAGCGUGGGGAGCAAACAGG
Molecule: ribosomal RNA, 751 nt
Filed under: uncultured Delftia sp.
Lineage: Bacteria; Pseudomonadati; Pseudomonadota; Betaproteobacteria; Burkholderiales; Comamonadaceae
Description: bacterial SSU rRNA
Rfam family: Bacterial small subunit ribosomal RNA
Source: RNAcentral